UUUUAAUAGUAUUGCAUUCCACAACAAAUGUAGAUGCCAGAUUGGAUUUUUGAGCAUUGUGUAUACACACAAGGCAGACUUGAUAAGCUUUAUGUUUUGGUGGACUUUUCUUUUUCCCAUGUGUAUGGAAGAAAGGGGGCAAUCGCUUUGAUCAGACAAAAGCACUUCUUCAUUUGUCUCGUGUACGUCAGUCAAACUCGGAUAUAAUUUUGUUGUGUCCACAUGAAAAUACAAAAUUGUACCCUGUUGCUGGAUUUUGUUUGGAUUAUGAUGAACACAGCAUUAAAACGUAGUGUCUGUUUCCCUGCAGACAUACUGUAUCUCAUAUUGACAUAUAUGUUGGCAUUUGAAGCUCAGAUUCUGCAAGCCCAACUUCUGUUCUUGAAUAAUUUUAGGGGCCAUGAGUGCAAAAUUAAAGUGAUUAAAUGAGUAUUGCUUGGGACACACUGCUGUAAAUAUGCUUGUAUCACGGAUGAUUCAAAGGUGUAAUGUUGAUUGUUCAUGAUCUGUGAUUCGUUUAUCCGAGAGAAGCAAAUUGACUUGGAAAGAACAACACAAGCCUCUUGCUUUAACGCUUUUUUUUUU
Molecule: long non-coding RNA, 585 nt
Organism: Perca flavescens (yellow perch)
Lineage: Eukaryota; Metazoa; Chordata; Actinopteri; Perciformes; Percidae
Exons: 3
Source: RefSeq, a predicted model, not a curated record